This 461-nucleotide ribosomal RNA is filed under the name uncultured bacterium. Its description in RNAcentral is "SSU rRNA". It matches the Rfam family "Bacterial small subunit ribosomal RNA", at positions 26 to 518 of the family's 1533-position model. The record is from RNAcentral.
AGAAUCAACGCUGGCGGCGUGCCUAACACAUGCAAGUCGCACGAGAAAGGGUAGCAAUACCUGAGUAAAGUGGCGCACGGGUGAGUAACACGUGAAUCAUCUACCUCCGAGUGGGGAAUAACUGAGAGAAAUCUUAGCUAAUACCGCAUAACACUUACGAGUCAAAGCAGCAAUGCGCUUGGAGAGGAGUUCGCGGCAGAUUAGUUAGUUGGCGGGGUAAUGGCCCACCAAGACGAUGAUCUGUAUCCGGCCUGAGAGGGCGCACGGACACACUGGAACUGAAACACGGUCCAGACUCCUACGGGAGGCAGCAGUGGGGGAAUUUUGCGCAAUGGGGGAAACCCUGACGCAGCAACGCCGCGUGGAGGAUGAAGCCCCUUGGGGUGUAAACUCCUUUCGAUCGGGAAGAUAAUGACGGUACCGAUAUAAGAAGCCCCGGCUAACUUCGUGCCAGCAGCCGC